CAGCAGGCGCGUAAAUUGCCCGAAUCCUGACACAGGGAGGUAGUGACAAGAAAUAACAAUACAGGGCUACAUCUAGUCUUGUAAUUGGAAUGAGUACAAUUUACAUCUCUUCACGAGGAUCAAUUGGAGGGCAAGUCUGGUGCCAGCAGCCGCGGUAAUUCCAGCUCCAAUAGCGUAUAUUAAAGUUGUUGCAGUUAGAACGCUCGUAGUCGGAUUUCGGGGCGGGUCGACCGGUCUGCCGAUGGGUACGCACUGGCCGACGCGUCCUUCCUUCCGGAGACCGUCUCACUCUUAACUGAGCGGAGGCGGGAGACGGAACGUUUACUUUGAAAAAAUCAGAGUGUUUCAAGCAGGCAGCUCGCUCUUGCAUGGAUUAGCAUGGGAUAAUGAAAUAGGACUUUGGUGCUAUUUUGUUGGUUUCGAACACCGAAGUAAUGAUGAGCAGGGACAGUCAGGGGCACUCGUAUUCCGCCGAGAGAGGUGAAAUUCUCAGACCAGCGGAAGACGAACUACUGCGAAAGCAUUUGCCAGGGAUGUUUUCACUGAUCAAGAACGAAAGUUAGGGGAUCGAAGACGAUCAGAUACCGUCGUAGUCUUAACCAUAAACCAUGCCGACUAGGGAUUGGAGGAUGUUCACUUAUUGACUCCUUCAGCACCUUACGGGAAACUAAAGUCUUUGGGUUCCGGGGGGAGUAUGGUCGCAAGGCUGAAACUUAAAGGAAUUGACGGAAGGGCACCACCAGG
This 744-nucleotide ribosomal RNA is filed under the name eukaryote marine clone NA11-2. RNAcentral describes it as "SSU rRNA". It matches the Rfam family "Eukaryotic small subunit ribosomal RNA", at positions 426 to 1174 of the family's 1831-position model. The record is from RNAcentral.